Molecule: small nucleolar RNA, 128 nt
Organism: Paramormyrops kingsleyae
Lineage: Eukaryota; Metazoa; Chordata; Actinopteri; Osteoglossiformes; Mormyridae
Gene: SNORA63
Rfam family: Small nucleolar RNA SNORA63
About the family: E3 belongs to the H/ACA class of snoRNAs and is involved in the processing of eukaryotic pre-rRNA and has regions of complementarity to 18S rRNA.
Source: Ensembl
GUGCAGGAUAAGUUACAGGACAGCUGGGCGGUGCUGUGCUGUCGUUCCCCCUGCAGAAAGUGACAUGUUUCCCACUAUCCCUGUCUGCUAGCACACCCCUACUGGCAGGGACGCUUGGUUUCAUACAU